Molecule: ribosomal RNA, 504 nt
Filed under: uncultured bacterium
Lineage: Bacteria
Description: bacterial SSU rRNA
Rfam family: Bacterial small subunit ribosomal RNA
Source: RNAcentral
CGCUGGCGGCGUGCCUAAUACAUGCAAGUCGAGCGAGCGGAAUCAACAGAUUACUCGGUAAUGACGUUGGGAAAGCGAGCGGCGGAUGGGUGAGUAACACGUGGGGAACCUGCCCCUAAGUCUGGGAUACCAUUUGGAAACAGGUGCUAAUACCGGAUAAUAAAGCAGAUCGCAUGAUCAGCUUUUGAAAGGCGGCGUAAGCUGUCGCUAAGGGAUGGCCCCGCGGUGCAUUAGCUAGUUGGUAAGGUAACGGCUUACCAAGGCGACGAUGCAUAGCCGAGUUGAGAGACUGAUCGGCCACAUUGGGACUGAGACACGGCCCAAACUCCUACGGGAGGCAGCAGUAGGGAAUCUUCCACAAUGGACGCAAGUCUGAUGGAGCAACGCCGCGUGAGUGAAGAAGGUUUUCGGAUCGUAAAGCUCUGUUGUUGGUGAAGAAGGAUAGAGGUAGUAACUGGCCUUUAUUUGACGGUAAUCAACCAGAAAGUCACGGCUAACUACGUG